AUUUUUGGACUAUAAUAGUGAGCCAUGCAGCCUGGGCCCUCCCAUCACAGACUUUAAAUCUAAUAAGGGAAAUAGAUCUGCAAAUACACAAUUUUAAUAUGGUUGGGUACUGCAUCGGAAGGCCCUCAGGAUGUCAUGCAUGAAAGGGCUCCAGGAGGAUAUGAUAUCAAACUGUGACUGAAGGGUGGAUAGCAUUCAGCCUGGUGAGAAAAGGUGAGCAUAAGAGAGUACUAAGCAAAGGACACAGUAUACACAAAUGCUUACAGACCAAAGAAAGCAUAGCGCCUUCAAGGUAUUUUGUGAUAAUGGACAUCCUUGCAUGCUGUUAGUAAUUUCAAACUUUGACCUAUAUGGGCAUGCAUAGAACCUGAGUAAUGAGCAAAAACGAAAGAACCUCAUAUUCUCAAAAAGAAUGUAUGAAAUAGCAUAAACAUUGCCAUGUGAAGGAGAACUUGACAAAAAAAAAAAAAACCAUGGAAUUGAAUUGCAUUAUAUUAAUUCAAUUAACUUCUGUUUUGUUUUUUGAGAGUCUCCCUCUGUCACCCAGGCUGGAGUGCAGUGGUGCAGUCAUAGCUCACCGUAACCUCGACCACCUGGGCUCAAGCUAUUCUCCUGCCUCAGCCUCCCAAGCAGCUGAAACUGUAAGUGCAUGCCACCGCACCCAGGUAAUUUUUUAUUUUUUAUUUUUUGGUAAAGACAGGUUCUUACUAUGUUGCCCAGGUUGAUCUGUAGCUCCGGGCCUCCAGUGAUCCCUCCUGGCCUCUCAAAGUGCUGGGAUUACAGGCAUGAGCCACUGCCCUAGCCCUAAUUCACUUAAGAAGUUUUAAACCUGUCCUAUUUGAUUAUUAUGAUGAAUUUCCUGGUUGAAAUUGCUCCCCUCCAACUGACUGCACAUUAUGCCCCAUGCUGACAUCUCUAAAGUAACACACAGGUUAUUUGACUCUGAUCCUCAGAGAAUCAAACUUUGUAUCUUGAUCUUCAACAUCCUUUAGAAGAAAGGAAUUUCCAGUUAAAGUGACAUAAAGAGGUUGGUGAUUCUUCCGAUAGAACUGUCAAAACUGUCAAAAACAACCAUUUUCUGGCACUAGAAAUUGACCAGGGCAGAAAAGUUGAAGCAUUUGUUCUUGAAAAACUGAUAGACCUCCAGGAAAGGACAGAUGACCUUGCCUAGGGAGCCCUUCUCACCUCCUAGUCCUUAAGGUGGAAAGGGAAGGUUUUCAAGAUGAUAUUGAGCACAAAGUCAGCAGCUUUGCUGCCAGGAGGGGUGCUCUCCUUGGAUCUGGAGGCAAAAAUCUGAAUUUGGGGGAUAAAGGUGACAGAUUUUUAUCUAAAUGGGAAAUAAUCCAAUCACAUAUUUUGUGUGAUAAAGAAAAUAUAGUAUAGACAUACAAUAUAAUACCACUAAGUAUAUAAAGGAACGAACUACUGAUACAAGCUGCAACAUAGGAAAACCUGAAAAAUGCCAUGCCAAAUGAAAGAAGCCACUCACAAACCACAUAUGUUAUGUGAAUCUAUGUAAAAUAUCGAGAAAGGGCAACACUGUAGAGACAGAAACUGAUUAGUUGUUUGCCUGGGGUGGGGGUCAAGGACUGACUGCAAAAAAAGACCUUAGGAAAUAUUUUGGGGUAGAUAGAACUGUUCUAAAACUGGAUUAUGGGAAUAUUUGCACAGCUGUAUACAUCUGCUAAAACUCACCAAACUUUAUACUUAAAGUAUUAAUUGUACAAGUUAUACUUUAAGUAUAAAGUGUACUUUUAACUCGAUAAAGCAAAAGUUGGUGCAUUUUAUAGUAUGCAAGUUAUACCUCAAUAAUGGUGUUAAAAAUUCUCCAAAAUCUUGCUUCAUGUACACAUCCAGACAACUUCCUGAGACCAUCCACCCUCCCUGCCAGGCAGAGACUUUGUCCAAGCUGACCUCCCUGCUGUGUCUCCUCUUCUUCUCCGGCAGCCACAGCACACUCAUCCUGUAAGCAGGUGGUACAGCCAGCAUGCUGCCCUGCUCUGCUGAGCUGAGCAUGGGUCUGCUUAUUCCCUAUGACACCACAGUAUUGAAGUUAUGUCAAUGAAUAAUCCUAAAUUGGCUUCUACAUGUUCAAGUGAUGAGUUGCGUGUCUCUCACUUUAAAUCAAAUGCCAGAAAUGACUGAACUUAGUGAGGAAGGCAUGCCAAAGGCUGAUAGGUCAAAGGCUAGGCCUUUGGUGCCAAAUAGCCAAACUGUGGCAAAGGAAAAGUUCUUGAAGAAAAUUAAAAGUGCUUAUCCACUGUACACACAAAUGAUAAGAAAGCCAAACAGCCUUAUUGAUGAUAUGGAGAAAGUUUGAGUGGUCUGAAUAGAAGAUCAAACCAGCCACAGCAUUCCCUUAAACCAAGGCCUAAUCCAGAGCAAGGCUUCAACUCUCUUCAAUUCUAUGAAGGCUAAAAGAGGUGAGAAAGCUGCAGAAAAAAAAAAAUGAAGCUAGCAGAAAUUGGUUCAUGAGGUUUAAGGGAAGGAACUAUCUUCAUAACAUAAAACUGCAAGGUGAAACAGCAAGUGCUGAUGGAUAAGCUGUAGCAAACUAUCCAGAAGACCUACUUAAGGACACUGAUGAAGGUGGCUACACUCUACAAUAGAUUUUCAGUGUAGAUGAAACAGCCUUCUAUUGGAAGAAGAUGCCAUCUAGGCCUUUCAGAGCUGAAGAAAAGUGAAUGUCUGGCUUCAAAGGAUAGGCUGACUUUCUUCUUAGGGUCUGUACAGCUGGUGACUUCAAGUUGAAGUCAAUGCUCAUUUGCCAUUCCAGAAAUCCUAAGGCCCUUAAGAAUUAUGCCAAAGCUACUCUGCCUGUGCUCUAUAAAUGGAAAAACAAAGCCUGGAUGACAGAACACUUGAUUAUAGCAUGGUUUACUGAAUAUUUUAAGUUCACUCUUGAGACCUACUGCUAAGAAAGAUUUCCUUUCAAAAUCUUACUACUCAUUCACAAUGCACCUCUUUACCCAAGAGCACUGUUGGAGAGGUACCAUGAGAUUCGUGUUGUUUUCAUGCCUGCUAACCUAACAUCCAUUCUGCAGCCCAUGGAUCAAGGAGUAAUUUAAACUGUAAGUCCUAUUAAGAAAUGCAUUUUGUAAGCCUAUAGCUGUCACAAACAGUGAUUCCUCUGAUGAAUGUGGGCAAAGACAGUUGAAAACCUGGAAGAGAUUCACCAUUCUGAAUGCCACUAAGAACAUUUGUGAUUCAUUGGAGAAGUUCAAAAUCUCAAUAUGAAUAGGAGUUUGGAAGAACUUAAUGCCAACCUUCAUGAAGGCCUUAGGGGGUUUAGGACUUCGGCAGAGGAAGUAACUGCAGAUGUGGUAGAAAUAGUAAAAGAAGUAUAAUUAGAAGUGGGGCUUGAAGAUGUGACUAAUGAAUUGUUGCAAUCUCAUGAUCUAACCUGAAUGGAUAUGAAGUUGCUUUUUACGGAUGAGCAAAGAAAGUCGUUUUUGAGAUAGAAUUUACUCCGGGUGAAGAUUAUGUGAACACUGUUGAAACAACAACAAAGGAUUUAUACUAUUACCUAAAUUUAAUUCAUAAAGUAACACCAAACAAAAUUUGAGAAGGUUGACUCCAAUUUUUAAAGAAGUUCUACUAUGGGUAAAAUGUAUUAAAUAGCAUCACAUGCUACAGAGAAAUGUUUUUGUGAAAGGAAGAGUCAACUGAUUGAAGAAGACAAUCGAGUUUCAUUGUCUUACUUUAAGAAAAUUGCCACAGCCACCCAACCUUCACCAGCCACCACCCUGAUCAGUCAACAGCCAUCAAUACUGUGGCAAAACCCUCAAGCAGAAAAGAGAUUAUGAUUAACUGAAGGCUCAGAUGACUGUUAGCAUUUUUUAGCAAU
RNAcentral lists this long non-coding RNA (3847 nucleotides) under Homo sapiens (human). RNAcentral's name for it is "HSALNT0247291". Lineage: Eukaryota; Metazoa; Chordata; Mammalia; Primates; Hominidae. The record is from RNAcentral.